GACGAACGCUGGCGGCGUGCCUAAUACAUGCAAGUAGAACGCACAGUUUAUACCGUAGCUUGCUACACCAUAGACUGUGAGUUGCGAACGGGUGAGUAACGCGUAGGUAACCUGCCUGGUAGCGGGGGAUAACUAUUGGAAACGAUAGCUAAUACCGCAUAAUAUUAAUUAUUGCAUGAUAAUUGAUUGAAAGAUGCAACUGCAUCACUACCAGAUGGACCUGCGUUGUAUUAGCUAGUAGGUGAGGUAACGGCUCACCUAGGCGACGAUACAUAGCCGACCUGAGAGGGUGAUCGGCCACACUGGGACUGAGACACGGCCCAGACUCCUACGGGAGGCAGCAGUAGGGAAUCUUCGGCAAUGGACGAAAGUCUGACCGAGCAACGCCACGUGAGUGAAGAAGGUUUUCGGAUCGUAAAGCUCUGUUGUAAGAGAAGAACGGGUGUGAGAGUGGAAAGUUCACACUGUGACGGUAUCUUACCAGAAAGGGACGGCUAACUACGUG
This 505-nucleotide ribosomal RNA is filed under the name uncultured bacterium. RNAcentral's name for it is "partial 16S ribosomal RNA". It matches the Rfam family "Bacterial small subunit ribosomal RNA", at positions 28 to 507 of the family's 1533-position model. The record is from RNAcentral.